UGGUAAUAUUUUGCCUAACGAAUAGGUCAACAUUGGAGGUAAUUAUCUGUUGUCAUUCCUUCACUGUGUUACCCAAGUUGGGCAUUAAACAUUGCUGGCACAUUUGCAUGAAAUGAUUUAUAAUUCAUUGUUAUUAUUACAUGUUUGGCAAAUUUCAUAAAAACAAUCUCGCAAAAAUUACUUCGGCUGCAAUUUAUAGCUUGCAAACAUUUAUCUGAUAAGACCAUUAUGCAUGAAUAAUACUGUUAAGUUUCAUGUAUAAGGUUUUGUACUUGAAUCAAGUGAAGUUGAACUAAGCAUAAAAUGUAUGCCUUUGCCAUUUUUUAAAUGGUGAAACACUUGCACAAACAAAUACUUACAAAUAUAGGAAACAAUUAAUUCUUUUAGCUGAAAAAUUCAACUAGUAUCAGGUUGAUGUAGGUGAGCCAUUACUAUAGCCUUUUCUGAUGAGCAGGUAUUGAGCGGCUCCAGGGUACAACUUCAUGGUUUUAUUAACCAGGUUUUCCGAAGGAAAAAACUGGUUAUUAGAUUGGCGAAUGCGGGCGGGCUGGCUGGCGGGCUGGCUGGCUGGCGGGCUGGCGGAAUAAGCUUGUCCGGGCCAUAACUAUGUCGUUCAUUGUCAGAUUUUAAAAUCAUUUGGCACAUUUGUUCACCAUCAUUGGACGGUGUGUCGCGCGAAAUAAUUACGUCGAUAUCUCCAAGGUCAAGGUCACACUUUGAGUUCAAAGGUCAAAAAUGGCCAUAAAUGAGCUUGUCCUGGCCAUAACUAUGUCAUUCAUUGUGAGAUUUUAAAAUCAUUUGGCACAUUUGUUCACCAUCAUGGGACGGUGUGUCCCACGAAAGAAUCACGUCAAUAUCUCCAAUGUCAAGGUCGCCACGACUAAAAAUAGAUUUAAAAAAAAAAAAAAACUUACAAAGGGGGUUAAUUUUUUUUGGUCAUUUCAAAA
Dreissena polymorpha is the source of this 947-nucleotide long non-coding RNA. RefSeq lists it as uncharacterized. NCBI's taxonomy places the organism in Eukaryota, Metazoa, Mollusca, Bivalvia, Myida, Dreissenidae. The record is from RefSeq and is a predicted model, not a curated record. The transcript has 2 exons.